AUGAACGCUGGCGGCGUGCCUAAUACAUGCCAGUCGAGCGAACAGACGAGGAGCUUGCUCCUCUGACGUUAGCGGCGGACGGGUGAGUAACACGUGGAUAACCUACCUAUAAGACUGGGAUAACUUCGGGAAACCGGAGCUAAUACCGGAUAAUAUAUUGAACCGCAUGGUUCAAUAGUGAAAGACGGUUUUGCUGUCACUUAUAGAUGGAUCCGCGCCGCAUUAGCUAGUUGGUAAGGUAACGGCUUACCAAGGCAACGAUGCGUAGCCGACCUGAGAGGGUGAUCGGCCACACUGGAACUGAGACACGGUCCAGACUCCUACGGAAGGCAGCAGUAGGGAAUCUUCCGCAAUGGGCGAAAGCCUGACGGAGCAACGCCGCGUGAGUGAUGAAGGUCUCCGGAUCGUAAAACUCUGUUAUUAGGGAAGAACAAAUGUGUAAGUAACUAUGCACGUCUUGACGGUACCUAAUCAGAAGGCCACGGCUAACUACGU
Molecule: ribosomal RNA, 495 nt
Filed under: uncultured bacterium
Lineage: Bacteria
Description: partial 16S ribosomal RNA
Rfam family: Bacterial small subunit ribosomal RNA
Source: RNAcentral